This 76-nucleotide transfer RNA is filed under the name Porticoccaceae bacterium. Its description in RNAcentral is "tRNA-Lys". It matches the Rfam family "tRNA". From Rfam's summary of the family: Transfer RNA (tRNA) molecules are approximately 80 nucleotides in length. The record is from RNAcentral. Lineage: Bacteria; Pseudomonadati; Pseudomonadota; Gammaproteobacteria; Cellvibrionales; Porticoccaceae.
GGGGAGUUAGCUCAGCUGGUAGAGCACCGGACUUUUAAUCCGUUGGUCACGGGUUCGAACCCCAGACGACCCACCA